This 2978-nucleotide long non-coding RNA is filed under the name Triticum aestivum (bread wheat). RNAcentral's name for it is "long non-coding RNA (TAES_LNC003652)". The record is from RNAcentral. Lineage: Eukaryota; Viridiplantae; Streptophyta; Magnoliopsida; Poales; Poaceae.
CGGGGGCGGUGGUGGCAACAACCGCUUUCAGAAGAAAAACUAGUAAGAUGCCCGUGCUCCGCUACGGAAUCAAAAAAAUUAGAUGGACUUAAGUUAUAGUUAAGCGCAUGUGCAUUGCUACAAAAUAAUAUAAAGUAUCAAUACAUCCAUCAAAGCGAUCUUAUUUCUUCGUAGGUACACAUCACACAAUCAACAUGGUUCCUUACAGAACCUAGAAAUUUCCAGUGGAUGGACAUUAAUUUAUCUUGAGUCCUUGAGUAAUUUAAUCCUUGGUCCUAAUGACACACUCGUUUAACACCAGGCAUAUGCAACCCUUUCAAAAAAAAAUACAAAUAUGCAGAACAUAAUCAAACGACGGAAGAAAAAGUAAUGUACACAUGUAAUAUUCUUUCCAUUGGUUAACCCUGAAUCACUAAAUGAAGGAAAGCAGUGUAUUUUUUUUUGCGGGGGAGGAAAGCAGUGUAUUUAACAAUAUACAUUAUUAUAGUGCAUGAAAUAUCAAAUAGAAAUUAAACUACAUGAGAAAAUUGUUGAUCAGAACGCUAGCAUCUCUAUCCCUAAAAAGAUGCAGUAGGUUUAGCGCAUAAGAAGCAACAUAUUUCCAUAGAAAUUACUUGCAGGUUACACCGAACUUAGCUAAUAUUAUGUAUUUCACAUGGCAACUUAUUAUUAUUAAGCAUACUGACUUAACUAUCGAUACUUGUGAACUUUUGUUAUGUAUUUGACAUGGCAAGUUAUUAUUAUUAUUAAGUAGAAGAAGCUAAGACUCGUGAAAUCCCUAACUUUUUCUCAUAAGAACUAAUCGUUCCUAAUUACAUUUGAACUUUUGUGCCACAUUUCAGAAACUUUUGAUUCUUCUUGAAGAGAUCAACCUGUCUGUGAAGUGAAAACAGUAAUAAAAAGGACACUCAAAAUUCGAUAUUCAGAUAUGGAACUCUGCAAUUUUAGAGGAAACAAAUUGGCGGCAAAAGCUUGAAAGACACGAAUGCUAUGAUAUACAAUAUGCAAAUACAGAUUUUGAACUACUGGAGCUCUAAGUAUGAUAGCCAAAGCAUACGAGGACAACUUCUAGGCUUCUAAUCAGCACUUUCAAUUUAUAGGAUAUACAUAAAGGAGUUGAACCUGAAUUUUAUUCAAUGAAAUAGCCGAAUAGGGAUAUUAACAUCAGACGUAUCUGUGCCAACUAACAUCUGACAAAAGGCCUGGCAACUGGUGAGGAAAUUCUGGGAGGAACUGCACGGAUUGUAGUCAUAGGUAGCACACCAUAUAUACCUUACUUUGCCAUGCACUGGCACAAUUGGAUCUCAUAUUUAAUAACCUCGUCCGUCGUGCCAAUAUGUCCUCCUUACUGCAGUAUGUGUUCAACUGGUGAAAUGCCAAUGAAAGCUCAGUGGUGCUAUUUUGUACAUAAUAAUAAAUUUGUGGAACAACGGUGAAGAAAUGUGGACAUAUCUAUCUGAAAGUAUGACCACAUCUUGCAGCUAACAAGUAAAAAUAUGUACAACCAACAUGAUUUCACUAGAUCAGCUAAUAUGCAAGUUAUGUAAAGAAUCUAUAUAUAUCAUAACUUCUAAGCCAUUACCUCCUUGCAUGGGAAAUACUUAGACAUCACCUUAUGAAAUCUACGACAUGUUAACAUGAAAAUAACAACUAUAAUAUGAAAUUCAUAAUGCAUUUGUAUUUGCUCUAGAAGUCACAAAUUUGACAACUGAAGCCAUGGUGCAAAUUUUUGAACUAAUCACCUUGAAUCUUCUUUCUGAUUCUACCCCAAAAGAAUUUUAAGUCAUAGCAUUUUUUUUCUCAACCACAUUGCAUCUUCUUGUUGUGUGUUUCUUAUGCAUAAAAAAAUGCUGGUGGUUAGUUCAUCUAGAUACAUCUAGAUACAUCCCCUUUAUGCAUAAGAUACAUCCCUUUUUAUUUAUUUUGAUGACAAGUAUUCCCGGACGGAGGUAGUAUUAGCACACCUUCUCCAUCAUGUACGUUUCUCUGUGGUACUAUUACGAUGUACGUUUCUCUGGGUAGUCCUGAUUGAGUAAUCCAUUAAAAUCCAUUAAAAUCUAUUAAAAUCUAAGCAUAACUUAAGUAAUAGUGGGAUAAAUAAGUAACUUUAAUCUUGCUUUGCCUGAUUGAGUAAUAGUGGGAUAAAUACAUAAACUUUAAUUCUUGUUUUGCUUAAUUGCAUAAAGUAGUAGUCAGAUCUGAAAAUCAAGCAUCAACUCCUUUGCCAUGUAAGCAUAACGCAAAUGCACAAGGAAGCUGCUAUCAAACUUUGAGACUGAAUGACGCUUCACACUCAAUACUCGUAAAUUAAUUUGUAGAAGAAACAAUUUUCUUUCUGUAGUAAGAAAAGUUGUAAAUUUGUACUUAGCUUUGCAGAAAAAGGUGCCCAGGGCAUCUAGAGCAUGGACAUCUAGAGCUUUGCAUAUGCACCCUGCCUAGAUAGAUUAACAGUGAGAGCAAUAACAGAUUGCAUAGAGAACCUGACCACCGUCGAACCCCUCACCGGCGCCCUUCUUCUCUCGUUCCCUCGGCCCUUAACCGUCGUUGCUACUCCAAGAAAAUCCCAAGCCGGAGCCCCCGGCUUCGAUUCGGACUUCGCCGCCCUCCUGCCAGAGCCCCUCCAUCGGGUGAUGUCUGCGAUUGGCAUCACUGACAUCUUGCCCGCCAGCCGUGCGUGCCACCACGCGCUAUAGGGGUAGGGGGAUGAGACAGCGGUGAGGAGGGAGAGGUGCUGGGUGGCGGAUCUGCUGCAUUGGUGGAGUAGGUAGGAGAGGCCUUGCAGACUCGGCACACGUACGGUGCCAGCAGCGUCGUAGGAGACGACGGGAAGGAGGGGAGGUGGAAGUGGAGGUUGGCGGUGAGGCUUUGCGACAGCGAGGAGUUGGGAGCCGCCGGCGCCGGCGGCGUGCAGAGUGCGUGGCCGCUGCCACUUCGGUUCCACUUUUUUCCAGAAGGAUCGUUUGCUGGGCUGAUUGGAU